Molecule: long non-coding RNA, 215 nt
Organism: Bombina bombina (fire-bellied toad)
Lineage: Eukaryota; Metazoa; Chordata; Amphibia; Anura; Bombinatoridae
Exons: 3
Source: RefSeq, a predicted model, not a curated record
GUUAAAAGCAAGAACAUAUUAACAGACAGAAGCUGAAAAAGAUUACUUUGCACUUUCACAAAUACAUAUUACUUGGAUCUUACUACUUUAUGAAGGAUGUUCCAUAUCAGAACUGUCACAAUCAUUUUACUAUGUUCUACCUGCAACUCUAAUAUAAUACAAACUCCUGCUGUGGAAACAUUAGAAGGAACAGAGAUUCAGUCUCAGGGGAAAAA